RNAcentral lists this ribosomal RNA (253 nucleotides) under uncultured bacterium. Its description in RNAcentral is "partial 16S ribosomal RNA". It matches the Rfam family "Bacterial small subunit ribosomal RNA", at positions 524 to 776 of the family's 1533-position model. The record is from RNAcentral.
UACGUAGGGAGCAAGCGUUGUCCGGAUUCACUGGGCGUAAAGGGUGCGUAGGCGGGUCUUUAAGUCAGGGGUGAAAUCCUGGAGCUCAACUCCAGAACUGCCUUUGAUACUGAAGAUCUUGAGUUCGGGAGAGGUGAGUGGAACUGCGAGUGUAGAGGUGAAAUUCGUAGAUAUUCGCAAGAACACCAGUGGCGAAGGCGGCUCACUGGCCCGAUACUGACGCUGAGGCACGAAAGCGUGGGGAGCAAACAGG